Molecule: non-coding RNA, 91 nt
Organism: Baudoinia panamericana UAMH 10762
Lineage: Eukaryota; Fungi; Ascomycota; Dothideomycetes; Mycosphaerellales; Teratosphaeriaceae
Source: the annotation of a RefSeq genome assembly
GUUGUUGUAGGGUGUAGUGGUAACAUACUCGCUUAGGGUGACGUCUUGACUUGACUGCGAGUGAUCCUGCGUUCAAACCGGAGCUGGGACC